Molecule: ribosomal RNA, 472 nt
Filed under: uncultured bacterium
Lineage: Bacteria
Description: bacterial SSU rRNA
Rfam family: Bacterial small subunit ribosomal RNA
Source: RNAcentral
UCGGGAAUUUUGGGCAAUGGGCGAAAGCCUGACCCAGCAACGCCGCGUGUGUGAAGAAGGCCUGAGGGUUGUAAAGCACUUUAGUUGUUGAGGAAGGUUGUGUGGUGAAUACCCGCAUGACUUGACGGUAAACAAAGAAUAAGCACCGGCUAACUCUGUGCCAGCAGCCGCGGUAAUACAGAGGGUGCAAGCGUUAAUCGGAAUGACUGGGCGUAAAGGGCGCGUAGGUGGACAUAUAAGUAAAUUGUGAAAGACCCGGGCUUAACCUGGGAAGGUCAAUUUAAACGGUAUGUCUGGAGUGGAGUAGAGGGAAGUAGAAUUUCCGGUGUAGCGGUGAAAUGCGUAGAUAUCGGAAGGAAUACCGGUGGCGAAGGCGUCUUCCUGGACUCUAACUGACACUGAGGCGCGAAAGCAUGGGGAUCAAACAGGAUUAGAUACCCCCGUAGUCCCUGAGCGGGCUGGCAAGGCGCAU